AUUGAACGCUGGCGGCAUGCUUUACACAUGCAAGUCGAACGGUAACAGGGUGCUUGCACCGCUGACGAGUGGCGAACGGGUGAGUAAUGCGUCGGAACGUGCCGAGUAGUGGGGGAUAACGCAGCGAAAGUUGUGCUAAUACCGCAUACGUACUGAGGUAGAAAGUGGGGGACCUUCGGGCCUCACGCUAUUCGAGCGGCCGACGGCUGAUUAGCUAGUAGGUGAGGUAAAGGCUCACCUAGGCGACGAUCAGUAGCGGGUCUGAGAGGAUGCUCGACCACACGGGGAGAGAGACACGGCCGCUGCUGCUACGGGGGGCAGCAGUGGGGAAUUUUGUACAAUGGACGAAUUCCUGAUCGCGGCAUGCCGCGUGACUGAAGAGGGACUUCGGGUUGGAAAGUACUUUUGUCAGGGAGGAGAUCCCUAGUGCUAAUAACACUGGGGGAUGACAGUACCUGAAGAAUAAGCACCGGCUAACUACGUGCCAGCCGCCGCCGUAA
RNAcentral lists this ribosomal RNA (500 nucleotides) under uncultured bacterium. RNAcentral's name for it is "partial 16S ribosomal RNA". It matches the Rfam family "Bacterial small subunit ribosomal RNA", at positions 30 to 523 of the family's 1533-position model. The record is from RNAcentral.